This 359-nucleotide ribosomal RNA is filed under the name uncultured soil bacterium. RNAcentral describes it as "bacterial SSU rRNA". It matches the Rfam family "Bacterial small subunit ribosomal RNA", at positions 26 to 382 of the family's 1533-position model. The record is from RNAcentral.
AGAGUGAACGCUGGCGGUAGGCCUAACACAUGCAAGUCGAACGGCAGAACAGUGGUAGCAAUACCAUGGGUGGCGAGUGGCGGACGGGUGAGGAAUACAUCGGAAUCUACCUUUUCGUGGGGGAUAACGUAGGGAAACUUACGCUAAUACCGCAUACGCCCUUUGGGGGAAAGCCGGGGAUCGCAAGACCUGGCGCGGAUAGAUGAGCCGAUGUCGGAUUAGCUAGUUGGUGAGGUAAUGGCUCACCAAGGCGACGAUCCGUAGCUGGUCUGAGAGAUGAUCAGCCACACUGGAACUGAGACACGGUCAGACUCCGUACGGGAGCAGCGAGGUAGGGAAUAGUUGGGACUAAGUGGGGC